Molecule: ribosomal RNA, 252 nt
Filed under: uncultured bacterium
Lineage: Bacteria
Description: partial 16S ribosomal RNA
Rfam family: Bacterial small subunit ribosomal RNA
Source: RNAcentral
UACGGAGGAUGCGAGCGUUAUCCGGAUUUAUUGGGUUUAAAGGGUGCGUAGGCGGACUGUCAAGUCAGCGGUAAAAUUGAGAGGCUCAACCUCUUCCCGCCGUUGAAACUGGUGGUCUUGAGUGGAUGAGAACUACGCGGAAUGCGUGGUGUAGCGGUGAAAUGCAUAGAUAUCACGCAGAACUCCGAUUGCGAAGGCAGCGUACCGGCAUCCAACUGACGCUGAGGCACGAAAGCGUGGGGAUCAAACAGG